This 212-nucleotide ribosomal RNA is filed under the name uncultured bacterium. RNAcentral's name for it is "partial 16S ribosomal RNA". It matches the Rfam family "Bacterial small subunit ribosomal RNA", at positions 123 to 334 of the family's 1533-position model. The record is from RNAcentral.
AACCUGCCUCGGAGUGGGGAAUAACACAACGAAAGCUGUGCUAAUACCGCAUGAUACAGUUGGGUCGCAUGACUCUGACUGUCAAAGAUUUAUCGCUCUGAGAUGGCCUCGCGUCUGAUUAGCUAGUUGGUGGGGUAACGGCCCACCAAGGCGACGAUCAGUAGCCGGACUGAGAGGUUGACCGGCCACAUUGGGACUGAGACACGGCCCAG